This 271-nucleotide unclassified non-coding RNA is filed under the name Cladophialophora sp. Its description in RNAcentral is "partial contains 5.8S ribosomal RNA, internal transcribed spacer 2, and large subunit ribosomal RNA". Lineage: Eukaryota; Fungi; Ascomycota; Eurotiomycetes; Chaetothyriales; Herpotrichiellaceae. The record is from RNAcentral.
CGCACAUUGCGCCCUUUGGUAUUCCGAAGGGCAUGCCUGUUCGAGCGUCAUUAUCACCCCUCAAGCCCCGUGCUUGGUGUUGGACGGCCGGUCGAGGCUCACGCCCGACCCCUCCCAAAGAUAACGACGGCGGCCUGUGGUUCCCCCGGUACACUGAGCUUCUCACCGAGCACGUACCGGACAAGGGCGCCCAGGACCCGGUCUUCUCCUCUCACGAGGAAAUUUUUUCAAGGUUGACCUCGGAUCAGGUAGGAAUACGCGCUGAACUUAA